This 305-nucleotide ribosomal RNA is filed under the name uncultured bacterium. Its description in RNAcentral is "bacterial SSU rRNA". It matches the Rfam family "Bacterial small subunit ribosomal RNA", at positions 334 to 637 of the family's 1533-position model. The record is from RNAcentral.
UGGGCCUACGGGGCGCAGCAGUGAGGAGUAUUGGUCAAUGGUCGGGAGACUGAACCAGCCAAGCCGCGUGAGGGAUGAAGGUACAGAGUAUCGUAAACCUCUUUUGUCAGGGAACAAAGGCGGGGACGUGUCCCCGGAUGAGUGUACCUGAAGAAAAAGCAUCGGCUAACUCCGUGCCAGCAGCCGCGGUAAUACGGAGGAUGCGAGCGUUAUCCGGAUUUAUUGGGUUUAAAGGGUGCGCAGGCGGUCUGUUAAGUCAGCGGUCAAAGCCCGGGGCUCAAACACGGGCCGCCGUUGAAAAUGGG